CCUACGGGGGGCGGCAGUGGGGAAUAUUGGACAAUGGGGGGAACCCUGAUCCAGCCAUGCCGCGUGUGUGAAGAAGGCCCUCGGGUUGUAAAGCACUUUCAGUGAGGAAGAACGCCUGGUGGUUAAUACCCAUCAGGAAAGACAUCACUCACAGAAGAAGCACCGGCUAACUCCGUGCCAGCAGCCGCGGUAAUACGGAGGGUGCGAGCGUUAAUCGGAAUUACUGGGCGUAAAGCGCGCGUAGGUGGCUUGAUAAGCCGGUUGUGAAAGCCCCGGGCUCAACCUGGGAACGGCAUCCGGAACUGUCAAGCUAGAGUGCAGGAGAGGAAGGUAGAAUUCCCGGUGUAGCGGUGAAAUGCGUAGAGAUCGGGAGGAAUACCAGUGGCGAAGGCGGCCUUCUGGACUGACACUGACACUGAGGUGCGAAAGCGUGGGUAGCAAACAGGAUUAGAUACCCUGGUAGUC
This 465-nucleotide ribosomal RNA is filed under the name Vreelandella stevensii. Its description in RNAcentral is "partial 16S ribosomal RNA". It matches the Rfam family "Bacterial small subunit ribosomal RNA", at positions 338 to 795 of the family's 1533-position model. Lineage: Bacteria; Pseudomonadati; Pseudomonadota; Gammaproteobacteria; Oceanospirillales; Halomonadaceae. The record is from RNAcentral.